AGUGAUUAAUGCCAAAGCCCUGUUGCCUGUGGAGAGGGUGAUGUUUGACUUUCUUGUACAGCUGCAGUUUGUGUGGUGAAGGUGCUCCCACAAUGUGGUUGGAUCCCAGUGAUUAAUGCCAAAGCCCCAUUGCCUGUGGAGAGGGUGAUGUUUGACUUCCUUGUACAGCUGCAGUUUGUGUGGUGAAGGUGCUCCCACAAUGUGGUUGGGUGGACAUUCAGAUGGUAACCUCAGUAUUUGUAACACCAAACUCUGACAGAAUUACUCAAUUCAUCAGGACCUGGAUAUUUGCAUUUAGUUGGUACUGAAAGGGUGGAUUUGUGGAUGAAAAAUUCAAAUUGAGCUUCAUGUUCAGACCUGAUGGUUACUGGAUCCGUGCCGAUCUGAAUAUCAUUGGCCUUUUCAUCUGGAAGGAAAGGGGGCUAGAUGGUGAAGGUUUGCAGCCUGAAAUCUCAAACUCGUGCAGAUUGUGAUUAAGUUAACCAGCAUUUGAAGAACCAAAGAUAGAGAAUCACUUGGUCAAAAUCCUGCAACACUCUCCCACACAGCAUUUUUGGUCUAUCUGCACCAAAUGGACUGUGAAUGGUACAAGACAGCAGCUCACUACCAUCUUCUCGAGGGUAACUAGAGAUGGGGAAUAAAUGCUGGCUGAGCCAGUGAUGCCCAUAUCCUGGAAAUGGUUUCUAUCUCUAGUUGCUGAAACCCAGUUGAUGUUACUGCAGGAUGAUGAGGGAUGCUGAGUACAUCCUCCAGGAGGCAGCACCAUCACAUUACCCCUGCCUACACCCACACAGUAACACAGCAACGUCACUGGAACAAAAGGCAGUGAAACCAAAG
Hemiscyllium ocellatum (epaulette shark) is the source of this 837-nucleotide long non-coding RNA. RefSeq lists it as uncharacterized. NCBI's taxonomy places the organism in Eukaryota, Metazoa, Chordata, Chondrichthyes, Orectolobiformes, Hemiscylliidae. The transcript is spliced from 5 exons. The record is from RefSeq and is a predicted model, not a curated record.